UUGUACGGCACUGACUUUGAAAAAACAUAUUAUGUUGUAUAGUUUUUGCAUAGUCCAUGUGACUUUUUUACUCGUCGCUACACAAAGCACAUCUAUGAUUGUGAAUAUUUCUUCUGGUUUUCUAUUUCGUUUGGUUACUUGUGCAGUCUUUCUCAGUUCAAGUAAUAUAUUUAAUUACGUAUAUCUGAACUCGUGUUGUUUGCGGUUGUUGAGUUUGACGAACAAAUAAAUAAUAUAAAAUCAGUAGAGCUAGUGCCAAUAUCUUUGAUAAGUGACGAUGAAACAAUUUGUUUUCAUCCUCCUACUAAAUAUUUAGCAAAGUUGAUAAAUGGUUUCAGAAUCAACAUAAUCCAGGUGUUUCUUGGGAAUCAUUUUCCAUAAAAAUUAUUGCCAAAGCUAAUUCUACGGCAUACAAAGCUAUCACUGACGAUUUGAAAUUUUUCAUUAAGUAUGAAAUAAAUAAUGCCAAGAGAAGCAUUCUUCAUGAUCUCAACACAAGUAUGGCUGAACUGCAACCAAAAUUUUCGGAACAUCAAGUAAAUUCAUCUAUUGAUCUUAGCGUACCUUCAAGAUAUCCUUUUAAGAACGUAGAAGAAUUUGAACAAUUUGAUGAAGAUUUUAAAAAUAAAGAAGAAAAUCGGAAUGCUAUGCUUAUAUAUUUGCCACAAUUUUCUAAAAAAAUUGUCGUCAUAUAAUGCCAAGUUUGGCAUUUAAUAAAUUUUUAAAUAGAUCUUCGAUUUUUCACGGAAGGAUCGCCAAAUUAUGAAGAGGACAUUACACUUGUAAUAAAAAGCAUGAUUACCAAGGAGGUUCAACUCAAAUAUUGUGCUUGUAGGAAAAUAAAUCCGAGGCUGUGGAUAAAAAAGUUUCAAGGAUACCCAAUUAUUUGAAAUAAUGGAAGGUAAAAAAUCAUUGUUCGAAUAAUUUUUCGUUUCGCUAUUAUUAAUUGAGUUUUCUAAAAAUCGAAAAGUAACUUGGAAAUUUGUUAAAUUAAUAGGUUUCGUAGCAAUCAUUGCCUUAAUAAAUCUAAGUAAACGUAAAAAAUAGAUCUAAAUUUUGUAGUUUUAUUAGUUUUCUAGAAUUUUUGGCUUAAGCUAUUUCCGACCUUAUUAGUGAUCCCAUAAACAAAUUUUAUCAUUAACUGCCUAGAAAAAAUUUUUUUGGUGAAAAUAAAUGCGACGACGUGACGCUGAGGUCACUUUUUUGACCGUACAAAUUUUUCACAUUUUAUCAUUUUGAUUAUAAUCUAAUAGUUCUUAUUGACCAAUGACAGAAAAAGGACCUCCUGAAGUGUCAACGGACAUAUACAAAAGAAAUUUGUAUGGAACGAUCUAAUAAUAGUCAUAAUAGAUUUAUAGAACCUUAAAACGUUCAAAUAUAAGUCGAUUUUCAAAACACGAAGUAAACCAAUAACUUCUGAAUUCUUUGAAAAAUCUAAGUUUUCAUAGCAAAAAAUUAAUAAUCAUUGCUAAAUUAUUAAAAGUAUUUUCUUAAUUGGAGAAAUAUUUGGAGUCGAAAGAAAAACUGUGCAUCGUUACCAAAGUAAACACACACACACACACACACAUACAUAUAUAUAUAUAUAUAUAUAUAUAUAUAUAUAUA
Long non-coding RNA from Diorhabda carinulata, 1605 nucleotides. RefSeq lists it as uncharacterized. The transcript has 3 exons. The record is from RefSeq and is a predicted model, not a curated record. Lineage: Eukaryota; Metazoa; Arthropoda; Insecta; Coleoptera; Chrysomelidae.